AUUGAACGCUGGCGGCAUGCCUUACACAUGCAAGUCGAACGGCAGCGCGGACUUCGGUCUGGCGGCGAGUGGCGAACGGGUGAGUAAUACAUCGGAACGUACCCUGUUGUGGGGGAUAACUAGUCGAAAGAUUAGCUAAUACCGCAUACGACCUGAGGGUGAAAGUGGGGGACCGCAAGGCCUCACGCAGCAGGAGCGGCCGAUGUCUGAUUAGCUAGUUGGUGGGGUAAAGGCCCACCAAGGCGACGAUCAGUAGCUAGUCUGAGAGGACGAUCAGCCACACUGGGACUGAGACACGGCCCAGACUCCUACGGGAGGCAGCAGUGGGGAAUUUUGGACAAUGGGGGCAACCCUGAUCCAGCAAUGCCGCGUGUGUGAAGAAGGCCUUCGGGUUGUAAAGCACUUUUGUACGGAAAGAAAUCGCGCUGGUUAAUACCUGGCGUGGAUGACGGUACCGGAAGAAUAAGCACCGGCUAACUACGUG
RNAcentral lists this ribosomal RNA (484 nucleotides) under uncultured bacterium. RNAcentral describes it as "partial 16S ribosomal RNA". It matches the Rfam family "Bacterial small subunit ribosomal RNA", at positions 30 to 507 of the family's 1533-position model. The record is from RNAcentral.